RNAcentral lists this ribosomal RNA (273 nucleotides) under uncultured bacterium. RNAcentral's name for it is "partial 16S ribosomal RNA". It matches the Rfam family "Bacterial small subunit ribosomal RNA", at positions 524 to 796 of the family's 1533-position model. The record is from RNAcentral.
GACGAGCCUCACAAACGUUAUUCGGAAUUACUGGGCUUAAAGGGUGCGUAGGCGGCGCGGAAAGUUGGGUGUGAAAUCCCUCGGCUCAACCGAGGAAUUGCGCUCAAAACUACCGUGCUCGAGGGAGAUAGAGGAGUGCGGAACUUACGGUGGAGCGGUGAAAUGCGUUGAUAUCGUAGGGAACACCGGUGGCGAAAGCGGCACUCUGGAUCUCUUCUGACGCUGAUGCACGAAAGCUAGGGUAGCAAACGGGAUUAGAAACCCCCGUAGUCC